GAUUUUUGGAACUAGGAGUUGGA
RNAcentral lists this non-coding RNA (23 nucleotides) under Cricetulus griseus (Chinese hamster). Lineage: Eukaryota; Metazoa; Chordata; Mammalia; Rodentia; Cricetidae. The record is from RNAcentral.